Molecule: ribosomal RNA, 1008 nt
Filed under: Triticum aestivum (bread wheat)
Lineage: Eukaryota; Viridiplantae; Streptophyta; Magnoliopsida; Poales; Poaceae
Description: partial small subunit ribosomal RNA
Source: RNAcentral
AUGCUUACUUUCGUCAAGUUGUGGCAGCAGCGGAGAGCGAACCUUCGGAGGCGUUUGUCGAGAACAACUCUCAUGAACCUUCGGAGGCAGUCGCUGUACUACAAAGGCGGCCUUCCUCUCGAGUCCCUCUUCAAGCUUGAAACCUAUCAAGGAGUCGUGGCCCUGAGGAUUGAAAUCUGUGAGGACCUUUCCAAGAGGGAAUCGGCGGAUGUUGCUCCGGUCACAACACUCAUCAGCCAGUGCACCGAGCUGGCAUAUGUUCACCUUUCCCUGCACCCGUCAAUGGCCUACGGUGGCGGCGUCCGUAGUCCCUGUACUCGACGGACGGUGGCGGCUAUGGUCGUGCCCUUCUUGAAGGCACCGUUUUGGAGUCCUCGCUCCGCCGUUGGCCUCUCACCUCUCCUAGGUAUCGCUCUUGGUGAUCUUUGUCGGCUCAAGGCGGUGCUCCUUUGCUUAAACUUUGUGUGCUUUGUAGUCGUUGGAGUGGUGUGUUGGUGCCCGGCACCCUUGUAUCUCGCCCUGGUGGGGGAAAACCCUUUUUCGUUAAUGGCCUACCACAGCAGCUUGUUCGCAGAGGCUGUUCGGGGGCUACCUCUUAGGCACUUGGGCCUCCAGGGCUGCUUGAGCAACAAUCAUGCCGCCCGGUCUGCCACCGUCUUGCUUCGUGACACCAAGAACCUGGAAGUAUUGUCGCUGUUUCCUAUGGGUCAGCCCAGAAAGAAGGCGUCCUGGACGUCCAAUGGCGAAUCGGAUGCCGAGACUGAAGAUUGUGACGAUGGGGUUGACUGUAGUAGCUGCGUGACCGAUAGUUUGUGGCAGAUGUAUGUCAGAUGCUUGCACCAUAAGCUGAGAAGAAUCAACAUUGUAGAUUCCAAAGGACUGCAGCUCAAAAGAGGGGAUAAAUCCCCCAGCAAUGCAGUGCUCUCACCUACAAACAUGUAUGAAAGUGUAGGAGGGCAUGAAUACUCAAUAUCCCAUGUCAAGGCUGAAAAGUGGGUUGAGGCAUAG